GAUGAACGCUGGCGGCGCGCCUAACACAUGCAAGUCGAACGAUUAAAGCACCUUCGGGUGUGUAUAAAGUGGCGAACGGCUGAGUAACACGUGGGCAACCUGCCCCUCUCAUUGGGAUAGCCACGGGAAACCGUGGAUAAUACCGAAUACUUCGGGACUUCCGCAUGGAAGACUCGAGAAAGCUCCGGCGGAGAGGGAUGGGCCCGCGGCCUGUUAGCUUGUUGGGGGGGUAAUGGCCUACCAAGGCAAUGAUGGGUAGCUGGGUUGAGAGACCGACCAGCCAGAUUGGGACUGAGACACGGCCCAGACUCCUACGGGAGGCAGCAGUGGGGAAUCUUGCACAAUGGGCGAAAGCCUGAUGCAGCGACGCCGCGUGCGGGAUGAAGGCCUUCGGGUUGUAAACCGCUUUCAGCAGGGACGAGGCGAAAGUGACGGUACCUGCAGAAGAAGCCCCGGCUAACUACGU
Molecule: ribosomal RNA, 466 nt
Filed under: uncultured bacterium
Lineage: Bacteria
Description: partial 16S ribosomal RNA
Rfam family: Bacterial small subunit ribosomal RNA
Source: RNAcentral